RNAcentral lists this microRNA precursor (98 nucleotides) under Daucus carota subsp. sativus. Its description in RNAcentral is "sRNA DCAR_mi00193". Lineage: Eukaryota; Viridiplantae; Streptophyta; Magnoliopsida; Apiales; Apiaceae. The record is from RNAcentral.
AAAUCUGAAAUAUAAUAGAAAUUUUAUAAAUUUAUUUCGUAAAUUAAAUUGUAUAAUUUUUAAAAAUUAAAACGAAUAAUUUCGUUGACAUUAUUAUU